RNAcentral lists this ribosomal RNA (253 nucleotides) under uncultured bacterium. Its description in RNAcentral is "partial 16S ribosomal RNA". It matches the Rfam family "Bacterial small subunit ribosomal RNA", at positions 524 to 776 of the family's 1533-position model. The record is from RNAcentral.
GACGAACCGAGCGAGCGUUGUUCGGAAUCACUGGGCUUAAAGGGCGCGUAGGCGGGCUGUCAAGUCUGGGGUGAAAUCCCGCGGCUCAACCGUGGAACUGCCUCAGAUACUGACGGUCUCGAGGGGGAUAGGGGCGAGCGGAACUGUGAGUGGAGCGGUGAAAUGCGUUGAUAUUCACAGGAACUCCGGUGGCGAAGGCGGCUCGCUGGAUCUCUUCUGACGCUGAGGCGCGAAAGCUAGGGGAGCAAACGGG